CGCGGCCUAUCAGCUUGUUGGUGAGGUAAUGGCUCACCAAGGCAUCGACGGGUAGCUGGUCUGAGAGGACGACCAGCCACACUGGGACUGAGACACGGCCCAGACUCCUACGGGAGGCAGCAGUAGGGAAUAUUGCGCAAUGGGCGAAAGCCUGACGCAGCGACGCCGCGUGGGGGAAGAAGGCCUUCGGGUCGUAAACCCCUUUCAGCAGGGACGAAAUUGACGGUACCUGCAGAAGAAGCGCCGGCCAACUACGUGCCAGCAGCCGCGGUAAUACGUAGGGCGCAAGCGUUGUCCGGAUUCAUUGGGCGUAAAGGGCUCGUAGGCGGUUUGAUAAGUCGGGUGUGAAAACUCAGGGCUCAACUCUGAGACGCCACUCGAUACUGUCAUGACUAGAGUCCGGUAGGGGAGUGCGGAAUUCCUGGUGUAGCGGUGAAAUGCGCAGAUAUCAGGAGGAACACCGAUAGCGAAGGCAGCACUCUGGGCCGGUACUGACGCUGAGGAGCGAAAGCGUGGGGGGCAAACAGGAUUAGAUACCCUGGUAGUCCACGCCGUAAACGUUGGGCACUAGGUGUGGGUUCCAUCCAACGGAAUCCGUGCCGCAGCUAACGCAUUAAGUGCCCCGCCUGGGGAGUACGG
RNAcentral lists this ribosomal RNA (639 nucleotides) under uncultured Actinomycetes bacterium. RNAcentral describes it as "bacterial SSU rRNA". It matches the Rfam family "Bacterial small subunit ribosomal RNA", at positions 232 to 885 of the family's 1533-position model. Lineage: Bacteria; Bacillati; Actinomycetota; Actinomycetes. The record is from RNAcentral.